CCUAACACAUGCAAGUCGAACGGUAACAGGAAGAAGCUUGCUUCUUUGCUGACGAGUGGCGGACGGGUGAGUAAUGUCUGGGAAACUGCCUGAUGGAGGGGGAUAACUACUGGAAACGGUAGCUAAUACCGCAUAACGUCGCAAGACCAAAGAGGGGGACCUUCGGGCCUCUUGCCAUCGGAUGUGCCCAGAUGGGAUUAGCUAGUAGGUGGGGUAACGGCUCACCUAGGCGACGAUCCCUAGCUGGUCUGAGAGGAUGACCAGCCACACUGGAACUGAGACACGGUCCAGACUCCUACGGGAGGCAGCAGUGGGGAAUAUUGCACAAUGGGCGCAAGCCUGAUGCAGCCAUGCCGCGUGUAUGAAGAAGGCCUUCGGGUUGUAAAGUACUUUCAGCGGGGAGGAAGGGAGUAAAGUUAAUACCUUUGCUCAUUGACGUUACCCGCAGAAGAAGCACCGGCUAACUCCGUGCCAGCAGC
Molecule: ribosomal RNA, 479 nt
Filed under: uncultured bacterium
Lineage: Bacteria
Description: bacterial SSU rRNA
Rfam family: Bacterial small subunit ribosomal RNA
Source: RNAcentral